RNAcentral lists this non-coding RNA (20 nucleotides) under Mus musculus (house mouse). Lineage: Eukaryota; Metazoa; Chordata; Mammalia; Rodentia; Muridae. The record is from RNAcentral.
AGGUUACCCGAGCAACUUUG